AGUGAACGCUGGCGGUAGGCCUAACACAUGCAAGUCGAACGGCAGCACAGUAAGAGCUUGCUCUUACGGGUGGCGAGUGGCGGACGGGUGAGGAAUACAUCGGAAUCUACUUUUUCGUGGGGGAUAACGUAGGGAAACUUACGCCAAUACCGCAUACGCCCUACGGGUGAAAGCAGUGGAUCUUCGGACCUUGCGCGAUUGAAUGAGCCGAUGUCGGAUUAGCUAGUUGGGGGGGUAAAGGCCCACCAAGGCGACGAUCCGUAGCUGGUCUGAGAGGAUGAUCAGCCACACUGGAACUGAGACACGGUCCAGACUCCUACGGGAGGCAGCAGUGGGGAAUAUUGGACAAUGGGCGCGAGCCUGAUCCAGCCGUACCGCGUGGGUGAAGAAGGCCUUCGGGUUGUAAAGCCCUUUUGUUGGGAAAGAAAAGCAGCAGGUUAAUACCCCGCUGUUCUGACGGUACCCAAAGAAUAAGCACCGGCUAACUUCGUG
Molecule: ribosomal RNA, 492 nt
Filed under: uncultured bacterium
Lineage: Bacteria
Description: partial 16S ribosomal RNA
Rfam family: Bacterial small subunit ribosomal RNA
Source: RNAcentral